RNAcentral lists this ribosomal RNA (253 nucleotides) under uncultured bacterium. Its description in RNAcentral is "partial 16S ribosomal RNA". It matches the Rfam family "Bacterial small subunit ribosomal RNA", at positions 524 to 776 of the family's 1533-position model. The record is from RNAcentral.
UACGUAGGUGGCAAGCGUUGUCCGGAUUUACUGGGCGUAAAGAGCGCGCAGGCGGCUGGUCAAGUCCGAUGUGAAAGCUCCCGGCUUAACUGGGAAAUUGCAUCGGAAACUGAUCGGCUUGAAGGUGGGAGAGGGUAGUGGAAUUCCCGGUGUAGUGGUGAAAUGCGUAGAUAUCGGGAGGAACACCAGUGGCGAAGGCGACUACCUGGCCCACUCUUGACGCUGAGGCGCGAAAGCUAGGGGAGCGAACGGG